RNAcentral lists this ribosomal RNA (451 nucleotides) under uncultured bacterium. RNAcentral's name for it is "partial 16S ribosomal RNA". It matches the Rfam family "Bacterial small subunit ribosomal RNA", at positions 29 to 523 of the family's 1533-position model. The record is from RNAcentral.
AACGAACGCUGGCGGCAGGCUUAACACAUGCAAGUCGAACGGGUGUAGCAAUACAUCAGCGGCAGACGGGUGAGUAACACGUGGGAACCUUCCUAGGAGUACGGAACAACUCAGGGAAACUUGAGCUAAUACCGUAUACGUCCGUGAGGAGAAAGAUUUAUCGCCCUUAGACGGGCCCGCGUCGGAUUAGCAAGUUGGUGGGGUAACGGCCUACCAAGGCGACGAUCCGGAGCUGAUCUUAGAGGAUGAACAGCCACACUGGGGCUGAGACACGGCCCAGACUCCUACGGGAGGCAGCAGUGGGAAAUCUUGGAAAAUGGGCGCAAGCCUGAUCCAGCCAUGCCGCGUGAGUGAAGAAGGUCUUCGGAUUGUAAAGCUUUUUUGCCAGGGACGAUAAUGACGGUACCUGGAGAAUAAGCCCCGGCAAACUUCGUGCCAGCAGCCGCAGUAA